Molecule: non-coding RNA, 92 nt
Organism: Caenorhabditis elegans
Lineage: Eukaryota; Metazoa; Nematoda; Chromadorea; Rhabditida; Rhabditidae
Source: Ensembl
CACAAGUUGUUUCUUCAAGUCAACAUCAUAUUGCACAAGGACACGAAGAUACAUCACAAGGAGCUGUUCACACAUUUCAGGAUGAAGAUGGU